This is a long non-coding RNA of Panicum hallii, 1549 nucleotides long. RefSeq lists it as uncharacterized. NCBI's taxonomy places the organism in Eukaryota, Viridiplantae, Streptophyta, Magnoliopsida, Poales, Poaceae. The transcript has 5 exons. The record is from RefSeq and is a predicted model, not a curated record.
GAGUGUUUUCUGGACCACACUCAUUUCACCUGUACACUCUUUCCCCAUCCUCCCACCUUCCGUCUUCUUCCUCAUGCAUCCUCUGCCCCCUGCUCCUCUCCUAUUCUUCGCGCUCUCCUGAAGCUCGGUGGCAUGGAUGCCGGAGAUGAGGAGGUGCCGAGGUGCUCGUCGGGCUUGCUGAAGAUAGUUUUCUGAGGUUGAUGUUGCGGCCUCCUUGGAGGCGCCUAGCUGUGCCGAGGCAUGAAGGGGUUGUCUCUCCUCGCAGGGAAGGCUGCUUCAAGUGGUGGAUCUGUUGCCGGGUGCACUUCUAGCUCCCAGAAGGUGAAAAACAUUAUCGCUGAUACCUCUGUUGCAACUGCACAUAGUGCAGCGUCAAGCUCUGCUGGCUCUGAAUCAAUGACUUGCACAAGUUCAAAGGGGCUAAUACAGAAUGUUGAAAUCCCAUUGAAGACAAUAUUCCUUAUGUGCUCAAGUCCCUUGGCAUUCAUAACCCUGUCUUCACCAAAGUGCACUUUAGCGAGAUUUUUCAAGUCCACAUUCAGUUGCAGUGUGGGUUGCCAUGUGCCAGGCAGCUACCAGUUAGAAAUGCAACGAUAUCAUGUGAUGUUUGUCCUGAUUUCUCUAUGGCAGAGGCUGGUGCUAUAAAGAGAGCAUCCUAACAUCUGGAAUGCAUGCACAAUGUUGUAGUUGUGGACUUGAGCACUACGUAACAUCUGGAAUUCACAGCAAAAUUGAUGUGCUGAACAUUAGGUGUAGAAUUGAGUAUAUGCACCUUUUGGACCGUCUCAGUUGUGUUGGGAAUAUAUUGUCCCAAUGGUCUGCUUGCUGUGACCUGCUGUUCGGUGUGGAGAAGCUUGCUUACAGUAAGAACCCUGUGUUACCGAAAAUUUGGAUCAUGCUGGGCCAUCAGUGCAGUCUGCCCAGAUGGAUUUGGUUGAAGCUGGUGAACUGAAAAAGAUUGUGAAGAGCCACUCAAAAUACCCUCUUUCACCUUUUGAGCUGGUGUUUGGACAUGAAGUUGUACCGCGGUCAAAAAUAGUUGAUAGUGUAUUGUUGGUUGACACAGCCUAACAUGCCUCAUAAAGUUCUGGAAAAGAAUUGGUUCCAUCACCCUCAACCUUGGACUAUAUCUAUCUGUGGAUAUAUUUCAAUGUCACGCAUUAUACAAAGAGGGAGUUUCAAUGUUGAUCUAUGUGACGCAGUCAUGAGGCUUUGGACUUAUUUGGAUAGAAGAAUGUAUGAGUAUUAUGUAAAAUAUGGAGAAAUACACAAGCCAUGACGCCAUUUCCUACCUGCUACAUUUGCAGUGCGUUGUAGCUAUACUUCUUUGCACUUGAAAUCUGGUUAUGUCCUUUUAUUCACCAAAUGUAAUGUUACUUGCAGGAAUCUGUAAUCCAGCAGCAAGACUAUCUGAAUUCUGAUAAAGUAUGAGCUAGUUUCAUAGGUGAUCACAUACGCUACAAAGUUGAAAAUUGCCAGAUGGUAAAUUUUACAUAAACCUGUUAUUUUCAAGGAAAGCUAUUGUGUGUGGCUUUGUCACAUGUGCUUA